GAUGAACGCUGGCGGCGUGCCUAAUACAUGCAAGUCGAGCGAACAGACGAGGAGCUUGCUUCUCUGACGUUAGCGGCGGACGGGUGAGUAACACGUGGAUAACCUACCUAUAAGACUGGGAUAACUUCGGGAAACCGGAGCUAAUACCGGAUAAUAUAUUGAACCGCAUGGUUCAAUAGUGAAAGACGGUUUUGCUGUCACUUAUAGAUGGAUCCGCGCCGCAUUAGCUAGUUGGUAAGGUAACGGCUUACCAAGGCAACGAUGCGUAGCCGACCUGAGAGGGUGAUCGGCCACACUGGAACUGAGACACGGUCCAGACUCCUACGGGAGGCAGCAGUAGGGAAUCUUCCGCAAUGGGCGAAAGCCUGACGGAGCAACGCCGCGUGAGUGAUGAAGGUCUUCGGAUCGUAAAACUCUGUUAUUAGGGAAGAACAAAUGUGUAAGUAACUAUGCACGUCUUGACGGUACCUAAGCAGAAAGCCACGGCUAACUACGU
Molecule: ribosomal RNA, 496 nt
Filed under: uncultured bacterium
Lineage: Bacteria
Description: partial 16S ribosomal RNA
Rfam family: Bacterial small subunit ribosomal RNA
Source: RNAcentral